Urocitellus parryii (Arctic ground squirrel) is the source of this 685-nucleotide non-coding RNA. NCBI's taxonomy places the organism in Eukaryota, Metazoa, Chordata, Mammalia, Rodentia, Sciuridae. The record is from RefSeq and is a predicted model, not a curated record.
UGAUAUGGAUCCAAGCUCUAAGAGGCCUGCUGACCGGUGCCUUUCCAGCUAUUCUGCUGGAUUGAGCAACUGGAGAAGGAGAAGACCCGAGGUUACACAGAGGGAGAAGGACGCUCAGCUGUCUUGGUGUCCAGCUGAGCCCAGCGCUCUGGCUGUCUCUGCAAAGGUGCCAUCUUGGGCGUUCUGGCCCAGCUGAAGCCCUGUCCCCUGACAACCCAGUGGAACCCGGUCAACCUCAGAAUCACGAGAGGCGACAGGACAACAGCAUAAGGCAGGGACGGUGUGGAGGCCAGGCGACUGAGGCCCGGAGAGGUUGGAAUCCUGAGGUGGUCUGGAGAUCCAGCCUCCGUUUGUCUGUCCCCACCCACCAGUGGUCCUGUGGAUGCUCUAACGGGGCGCUGGGGCUUCUCCCCUCCACCUUCUGCAAGGGAGAGGGGCACCUUGACCUGAUCUGUGCACAGAGCUGAAUUCCUCGCAGGAGCAGCGCUGCAAGAUGCUGURAAGAGACGGGAGAGUGUCCGGCAGCCCUUUGAACAGAGGGAUACUGGAGACAUCAGUGGGUUAACUUCACAACCAACGGACAUAGUUUCUAUGGGAAAAUACACUGUAAACCCCAAACAACUGACUUGGAAACAGACCUGGAACUCAGCCUGCGUAUAAAUCAGGGGCUGAGCUGUGAGCGUUG